AUGCGGCUACUCAGCAUCUGGGUUGUGUGGGGAUCAUUUCUGACGGAUCUGAGUCACGGAGAUUCUGUCACUCAGCCGCUGUCCUUAGAUGUUAAGACAGAAGGAGAAGCGGUGACUCUAAGCUGUACCUAUGAUACUACACAAAACAGCUAUUCUUUAUUCUGGUACCGGCAACACCCAGACUCGCAACCCGCGUUUAUAUUGAGGAAGGAUUCAAACGGUUAUGAAGAUAAAGCUGAUUUUGCCAAAAGCCGUUUCUCAGUAGAUCUCCGGAUCUCUUAUAAAUUCACCAGUUUAACCAUCUCGGGUCUGCGGCUGACUGACGCUGCCGUGUAUUACUGCGCUCUCAGACUCACAGUGAUGGAAAGCAGUCUGACCCCUGUACAAAAACUGCCUUUAGACUGUGGAUUGGAGCUCCUUUGGGUUGGGGCUUGUGUAGAAUCUCGGGCAGGUGCAGCCACAAUGUUCAGCGGCGCUGUCAGACUCAAACACAACCCGAGAGGAAACGCAUUAACCUCGAUUCAAACCGUCACAAAAUUGUUUCUAGGAGCCGCCGACAAAACAAACUGCAGAAUCGAAUCAGACCGGUUCAGCACAAAAUCAUAA
Molecule: non-coding RNA, 606 nt
Organism: Carcharodon carcharias (great white shark)
Lineage: Eukaryota; Metazoa; Chordata; Chondrichthyes; Lamniformes; Lamnidae
Source: the annotation of a RefSeq genome assembly